Molecule: long non-coding RNA, 353 nt
Organism: Lepidothrix coronata (blue-crowned manakin)
Lineage: Eukaryota; Metazoa; Chordata; Aves; Passeriformes; Pipridae
Exons: 3
Source: RefSeq, a predicted model, not a curated record
CACACUGUUAAACUAUUUCUCCAAAAGAUACUAAAUGACUGAAACACUAAAGUAAAUGUGUAUUGUUUCAGCUAUCUGCUUCCAAACCAUAGGACUGUCUGCAUAUCCCUCUCUUCAGCCAACUACACUGCUUAUAGUUUAAUGCAUAAAGCAGCAAAAGCCACCGACUGACCACAAGCAGAUGCAAUCUUCAAUGAAAAUGCUUCUGUUUAGCACUGAAAAUCUUCUCCAAAAAUUAAAAUCUGCUCAAAUCACUACAGUAUUCCAGACAUUCCUGAGAGCACAAAGAAAAAAAACUUUCGUUAAAGAGUCACUUUUCCCCACAGAUUAACUACAUGUCUCAGAAAGGCUAC